Molecule: ribosomal RNA, 253 nt
Filed under: uncultured bacterium
Lineage: Bacteria
Description: partial 16S ribosomal RNA
Rfam family: Bacterial small subunit ribosomal RNA
Source: RNAcentral
UACGUAGGGGGCAAGCGUUGUCCGGAUUUAUUGGGCGUAAAGAGCGUGUAGGCGGCUUUACAGGUCCGUUGUGAAAACUCGAGGCUCAACCUCGAGACGCCGGUGGAAACCGUAAGGCUAGAGUCCGGAAGAGGAGAGCGGAAUUCCUGGUGUAGCGGUGAAAUGCGUAGAUAUCAGGAGGAACACCUGUGGUGUAGACAGCUUACUGGACCAUUUCUGACGCUGAGACACGAAAGCGUGGGUAGCAAACAGG